This 588-nucleotide long non-coding RNA is filed under the name Homo sapiens (human). RNAcentral describes it as "non-protein coding LINC00539:6". Lineage: Eukaryota; Metazoa; Chordata; Mammalia; Primates; Hominidae. The record is from RNAcentral.
ACCCCAGAAACUCAAGGGAGGAAACUGACUGCCUUCUUGGGGUUUUCUUAACUGUGCUUUUUCUGCUCUGCAGGAAAGAUGCAACCUGGGCCAGAGGCCCCUGGAGGUUGUGCCUGAACCCAGACAGAUCACACAAACCUGAGCAGCCAUUAGCCGCUGUGUGGGCUCCUUUGCACUGUGGGGCUGCUCCUGGGGAUAUUUACGUUGUGAACUGGUAAAAUCUGAACUGCAGAAUAUCAAUUUCCAGACAUUCUUCCUAGAUGAUGCCGUCUGCCACGGGUAAGGAUUCAUGAGACCUGAGCAGCCAGCCAGCCCUGAAAUGGUUGGAACAGGAGAAAGAAGAAGAGCUCGACAGAUACCCUGCCUGGGCUGGCAGCUAGCUGCACCACAAGCUGGCCAGCUGACAGCGGGCACAUCCCUUCAUCACCCAGUGCCUUUCUUCCCUCUUGUGAAAAUGGAGAUAUGCUGAGAAGGUUACUUCAGCUCAUCCAGAGAAAGCUUCUUCAGCUAACUAGGCUGUAGAAAGGGCCUACAGCCUAAAUUUUCAAAAACAAGUUAAUGCCAGAAUAUAAACUCCGUGAAGUAACA